This 82-nucleotide transfer RNA is filed under the name candidate division SR1 bacterium Aalborg_AAW-1. RNAcentral describes it as "tRNA-Leu". It matches the Rfam family "tRNA". From Rfam's summary of the family: Transfer RNA (tRNA) molecules are approximately 80 nucleotides in length. The record is from RNAcentral. Lineage: Bacteria; Candidatus Absconditibacteriota.
GCCAGGGUGGUGGAAUUGGUAGACACGCUCGACUCAAAAUCGGGUGCAGCGAUGUGUGUGGGUUCGAGUCCCAUCCCUGGUA